Molecule: transfer RNA, 74 nt
Organism: Camelus ferus (Wild Bactrian camel)
Lineage: Eukaryota; Metazoa; Chordata; Mammalia; Artiodactyla; Camelidae
Rfam family: tRNA
About the family: Transfer RNA (tRNA) molecules are approximately 80 nucleotides in length. Their secondary structure includes four short double-helical elements and three loops (D, anti-codon, and T loops).
Source: Rfam
GAGGGUAUAGCUCAGUGGUAUAGCACAUGCUUAGCAUGCACAAAGGGUCCUGGGUUCAAUCCCCAGUAACUCCU